UACGAAGGGGGCUAGCGUUGCUCGGAAUUACUGGGCGUAAAGCGCACGUAGGCGGCUUUCUAAGUCGGGGGUGAAAUCCUGGAGCUCAACUCCAGAACUGCCUUUGAUACUGGAGAGCUCGAGUCCGGAAGAGGUGAGUGGAACUGCGAGUGUAGAGGUGAAAUUCGUAGAUAUUCGCAAGAACACCAGUGGCGAAGGCGGCUCACUGGUCCGGUACUGACGCUGAGGUGCGAAAGCGUGGGGAGCAACAGGG
This 253-nucleotide ribosomal RNA is filed under the name uncultured bacterium. RNAcentral's name for it is "partial 16S ribosomal RNA". It matches the Rfam family "Bacterial small subunit ribosomal RNA", at positions 524 to 776 of the family's 1533-position model. The record is from RNAcentral.